CAAUUAUUUCAUUCUCUUGUUCUCUGUUCUUCUAGUUCCUCACUUCUUCGCAAAAUCUCUGUUUUUCCCCUUUUUUAUAACAUGAAAUAAUUUAGAAAAAGAAAUGAUCUUCUGAGAUAAUCUUCCAAGGGCCCACUUAGAGGCGAGUCCCAUGGGUGACGAAUCCACCACCAGAGUAGACCAAGGGGCCGCCAUCAGCUGCCCUGUCCAACGGCCACAAAACAAUCCUUGCAAACGUUGUGAAGACCGCGUUCUCUCCUCUGAUGAGCGUUAAUGGCAACAUCUUUAGGGCGGCGCUCUUACUCUGCUAAUCAAAUACUUCACGAAGCAGUCUGAGCUUGCAGUCGCGGUCGCGGUCGCUAAGGACAACAGAACCAAGACGGCCGCAGAGGAUAGCGAUGCCAACACUAAUGCACUGCCAAUAGAUAGAGCAAUCCUCUAGCUAUUCCCUCAAUUAUGGUGAAGCGCUUUCUCCAAUCUAAGGAUUUAUGUUUUGAUGGAUCUGCAAAAGAUUGUUCAAGUAAGAUGUGAUGAAAGUAGAUGGUCAUAAGAAGACAAUUUACUCACUUCCUGCAUUAUUAUAGUAGGUGGUGGUAUAUUUGCUAUGCGAGGCAAUUACUUGUAUAUUAAUAAACCACUUUAAUUGUUCAUUGACUCCAUUGAACUUGCACAUCAAGAGAUACAAAACCUCACAUGAACUUAUAAAAUUGGGAAGUAUUCCUACAAAUGUCAACAGAGUGGUGACAUAAGGUAAAAUAAAAUUUGAAGUACCAUACUUUUACUUCUUUAGGUAUUCAUAGACAAUCAAGUUUUCAUUUUUCUCCUCCAUUCAUCCUAUGCAAAGCAUAUAGAAACAUCCAUUUAGUAAACGGUGAUAUGCAUGGAGGAUUGGCACUAACCAAAUAUGUAUGUAUCCAAACUUUUGUUUGGCAUGCAUUCAUAAACCAAUAUCUCUUCUUCAAUGCAACAUCCAAGAAGUUUAACAAGGUUUCAGUGUUGAAGCUUAGAGAUCAACUCCACUUCAUUUAUAAAUUCAUCCAUACCCUGUCCUGAUAGUCUUGAUAGUCUUUUUACUGCUAUUUCCUGCCCAUCUUCCAAUGUCCCCUGAAAUAAGAUGAUAAAGAACAUUAAUUUCUUAUGAACUGAAGGAUUAUAAAGUUCAAAAAGAAUGAAAAUCACCUUGUAAACUGGACCAAAACCACCCUGCCCAAGUUGAAGUGAUAUAUCAAAGUUAUUUGUUGUAGUUUCCAACUUUCUCAAAGAAAACAAUGAUAGGUCUGGAACAUGGACUUGCUUCAGGGGCAUCAUCCUUGUUUUGUAUUGAUUCUGCAUCUGUGUUUCCCCUGAUUUUCACACAUUUCCCCCAUUUUAUUUCGCCGAAAAACAUAUAUUGCUAUUCUAAUACUAGGUUCCAAGAGCUAUGAGUUAACUAUAUGAACUUGUCGCACAUUCUGUAUCAAAAUGAUGGAACUCAAAAGUUCGAGAGAUUAUCUACGAUCACAAAGCUAAGAUUGUACCCAAUCUAAAUAACCACAGAGAAGAUCACUCAUCCUUUGAAUGAACCCUUAUAGUCAACGUGAAAAUUACCUUUUUGGUUUGAGCAUUUUUUCCAUAAGAAAUAUCCAGACACCAUAAUGAGAAUUGUUCCUGUCAAAAUUGAUAUUAUAAUAGGCGUUGUCAUCUUCCUCUUGCCUAUGCCUGUAUCAAAGAAAACAACAUUCAGCGAGCUUUCAUUUUCUGGCAAUAAUUUCAUCACUAUACCACAUAUAUUGUCAUCAACAGGCUAUAAAGAAAUUAAAAAAACAAAUAAAUAAAGCUCUUCGUGUAUUUGUCAUGACAUUUGUUUUGCAAAAACAAGCACCACGCUAGUUGACUCCUUGAAAUAAAAUUGCUCCCACAUUUUAUAAUACUUUUGAAGAAUCUUAAAAAUAAGUUAAGAAGUAACAUUGCUCUCAAGGAUGUUUAACAUGACAUACAUAUAAACAGCCAUGCAACGAAAUAUAUAGUGCUUAGUGAAAUUUAAAGUUGAACCAAAUCCUAGUUGAGUGUUGAAGACAUGUUGGACUGUAAACAAGUGUGUUCUAGGGUAUUUUAAAGCGCUUUCUCUAAUUAAUAUACAUACCUAGUUCUGAGUGGGCUAAACGUAUGUAAACAUCAAUCCCUCCGUCUGGGAAGUUUUGUAUGUCAAGUAAAUCUGCAUUCCAAAUCAUACAGCCAAGGUUUCUUUCAUGGGCAUAAGCGAUACAAGAGCAAUUCUUGAGGCAUGUAGUUUCACAAUCUAUAGUAGCCUCAAAGUAAGAAGGUAACACUUACACAUCAUCUGGUAAUUUCACUCUCUCCAGCAUCCAAAAUCCAUCUAUUUUGCUAGCUUGAGAAUCAUUUUUUUCUCUCACACACUGAAGUGCUUCUCUUCUGACACACCCACCGGUCCAGUUCUGCCUUCCCCAUUCUUCUUUGUUCCUUGGUUCAAACCCUCUCAAGCAGCUGCAAAUUGGGAAGCUCUGCCAAUUACAAACCCCGAAUGGACCACAUGUGCCAUAAACAUCACACUUUGAAGAACCAAUUAUCCUCAAAAGUUCCAAUCUGUUUGACUGGGAAUUCCAACGCCGUUGUUCUACUUUACCUUGAGGAUUUAAGGUAAAAGUCGCGGGAGACUUGUCUGAAAAAAAUAGUUCCGAAGUCCCGUUCUCUUCUUUCAUCUGAAACCCAUCCCCGGAGUUAGUUGAAGCUAUCCUUGGUAAACCAAGGAAGUCUAUGCCAUCCCAGGGACCAGUUCGAAAGUAAGGACGAUUUUCUUUCCACACAAAUACUUCAGUUACGUUACGGGCUUCAAGACCGCAAGAAAAUUCUCCAUAAGAUGGAUCAGAUGCACUUUUCCAAGAUGAUGUUGGAAACUCUGCCACACGGAUACUCCUGUAAUUCCAUCAGCAAGGAUUAGGUUGCCGGAAUCCAAGAGUUGAGCACUGGAGUUUGAGGCAACUUGUGAGACGUUUGUUGACCAAAGAACCUGUUUUUGACCAUUCAAAACAACAAGAUUGCCAUUUUCUGAUAUUGUCAGAAUUCCCAAAGAAUCUAUUAGUGGGUUGUUUCUGUUAGCAACCCAAACAAUGGAGGAUUUGGACAUGUACCAAAUUCCCAUGUAGCGAUUAGUGGAAUUUUGAGGACUGAAGAAUCCUAGUGUGAACAUGUUAUUACUUGAGCUCACUGUUUCAGGUUCUUGGAUCGACAUAGAUGAUGCAAUGGUGUCCAAGGCACAUACCACAAGAGUUGAAGAGAACAAACGUACAAGGAAAGCAAGUAACAAGACUUUAUUGAAUCCCAUGAAGAACAUUGAUUUCGAAGUGCUGUGAAGGAUAACCCCGUAUAAUAUACUGUAUUUCGAACUAUUUACCUUUUCUUAAACUGCGACUUCACUGGAGGAAGAACAAAACCUGCAACAAUCUGGAACUUCGACUUCACUUGGUCGCCAUUCUUAUUGUACAACCAUUGAAUCUUCUCAUUCAUCAAUCAUAUACUCCCUCCGGUCUCAUUUAUAAGUUUAAUUUUAGAAGGUGUAUUUGGUCUCAUUUAUAAAUCAUGGUGCGUCUUUUUAAAUAAUAUUUGAGAGGUAUUUCCAAAAUUACCCUUCAUGAGAGAGAAAAAGUAAUAGUACAUUACUUUUUAAAUUUGUUAUAUAGGGACAUGUUUGGAAUUUUACUUAUUUUUAUUCCUUGUAUUUUUGUUGUAUUGGUAUUGAUGAGAUUAGUAGAAAUGACUUAUAAAUAGGAUCGGAGGGAGUAGUCUUCUAAAAAGUUAUAAACAAUAGAAUUUUGACAAAUAUACUUUCCUCUGCGGUCGUGGGCCUUGUUACUGACAUCUUAUCAUAGGAUUUUAUUGAUCUUGCUGUCAGUAGUUCUGUCUAUGGCUCUUCAUCUAUCAAAUAUCAAAACUAGUUCAAGCAGUUUAAACUAGCUUAUUUUGGUAGAAUAGCCAAUCUAUGUUGCAUGGUCUAUUCAAUUAUCUUGUAGAUAGAUUCGAGAUGAUGACGUGCAAAUUAUUUGACCAGAACAUGAAAGUUACGUUCCAAGAAA
Molecule: long non-coding RNA, 4070 nt
Organism: Prosopis cineraria
Lineage: Eukaryota; Viridiplantae; Streptophyta; Magnoliopsida; Fabales; Fabaceae
Exons: 3
Source: RefSeq, a predicted model, not a curated record